This 253-nucleotide ribosomal RNA is filed under the name uncultured bacterium. RNAcentral's name for it is "partial 16S ribosomal RNA". It matches the Rfam family "Bacterial small subunit ribosomal RNA", at positions 524 to 776 of the family's 1533-position model. The record is from RNAcentral.
UACGUAGGGUGCAAGCGUUAAUCGGAAUUACUGGGCGUAAAGCGUGCGCAGGCGGUGAUGUAAGACAGGUGUGAAAUCCCCAGGCUUAACCUGGGAACUGCAUUUGUGACUGCAUCGCCGGAGUGCGGCAGAGGGGGAUGGAAUUCCGCGUGUAGCAGUGAAAUGCGUAGAUAUGCGGAGGAACACCGAUGGCGAAGGCAAUCCCCUGGGCCUGCACUGACGCUCAUGCACGAAAGCGUGGGGAGCAAACAGG